This is a long non-coding RNA of Vidua chalybeata, 326 nucleotides long. RefSeq lists it as uncharacterized. The record is from RefSeq and is a predicted model, not a curated record. Lineage: Eukaryota; Metazoa; Chordata; Aves; Passeriformes; Viduidae. The transcript is spliced from 3 exons.
CUCAGCCACUGGACUGAGACUGGGAAGCCCUAACCUGGUCAGCUCAGAGAUCCAAUAUGUUGCAUGGCACUGGCACAAAAAUGCUGGGCAAAGAAGCGAGUCCAAGAAAAUACAAAGUCAAAGGACUCAGAAACCAACUGUGGUGCUAACAGAAGUGAGGAUGGAGUUGCACUGAUCUUUUACAAUGGAUACAAGAUAAAUUCAGAAGAAACCUGAAAAAAGCUGGGAAAAUACUUGUUUCACAUGGUUCCAUCAUGCUGCUGCUUGCCAUGGUGACUUCCUGGUAAAGUUCAUAUGCUUACAGAAAGUAUUCAGUGCUUUAUGAA